RNAcentral lists this microRNA precursor (96 nucleotides) under Callithrix jacchus (white-tufted-ear marmoset). RNAcentral's name for it is "microRNA cja-mir-499b precursor". Its record names the gene cja-mir-499b. The record is from miRBase by way of RNAcentral. Lineage: Eukaryota; Metazoa; Chordata; Mammalia; Primates; Cebidae.
GCGUAGGGACGGGAAGCAGCACAGACUUGCUGUGAUGUUCACGUGGAGAGGAGUUAAACAUCACUGCAAGUCUUAACGGCCGCCCGCCCAAGGCGC